RNAcentral lists this unclassified non-coding RNA (1406 nucleotides) under Hevea brasiliensis (rubber tree). The record is from RNAcentral. Lineage: Eukaryota; Viridiplantae; Streptophyta; Magnoliopsida; Malpighiales; Euphorbiaceae.
UUUUCUCUUUUUUUUUUUAAAUUUUUUCAUCUGUAUAAUAUAUAUAUAAAAGGGAAAGCAUUUUAGUCAGCUCAUCAGUCAUCCUUAUUUUUCCAUGUCACAUUGUUAAGACCCCUUAGAAGCUUUGUUUUUGCUUAUUCGGAUAUUAAUUUCAUCCAUACUUGAAUAUGUUGCUAUUAAUUACGGUUCAGGUGAUUUAUUUUCUUUAUUGUGAUAAAAUCUAAUGAUAAAAAAUUAACUAUAAUCAUCCAGGGUAACAUCACUACAACAAUUGCUCUUUGUUGUGCUUCUAAAAAUUGGGACAUCUCAAGAUCCAAAGAUAUUUUAGCCACAUUGACAGGUAUAGCAAUGAUAUACGAUCUAAAAUUCUAAGCAAAACAAAAAUAUGACUUCAGUAACAUGAGAAAAAGAAAGCAAAAGCUUUCUUAAACUUAAAGAAAUUUUGACACAUCAUCUAUUGAGUAAGACAAUGGUGUUCACACCCUGGCCAAUACUACCAAUAUAAUCCCUUUAAAAUUUAUUACAUUACAAGUCCAAAGCAUUAAUUUAAUCAAGCCUUAAACCCAUAGUCCCAUACCAGUAGGGUUGUCUACAAGGAUGUGUUUGUUUAAUUACAUCCAUUUAGGGCUACAUCUUUAAAAAGAUCAAUGGCUACAUUUAAAAAGAAAGGGGUAUUGCCCAUAGUCAUCAGUUGAGAACCGCGCUAACAAUGUAGUUUAUAAAGAAGAUAUCUGAAAAAAUCCAACCUCGAGAAAAUGCUAACAAUGCAGUUUAUACAUUCAUUGAUUUUUUCUUUCAUCAAAUUGUGGACAUUGGAUUUUGUCCUUUUUUUAGCAUAAAGAUACUUUCAUCUAGAGUAUGAUAUGUUGUACCCAAUAUAAUAUGCAAAAUAAAUUCAAUCUAAUUACUUCAGCAGCAUGUCUUUUAUCUAGGUCAUUUGUCCACAUGGAGAUUUGUGCAAGAUUUGCCAAAGCCGGUGGUUCCUAACAGAUGUUUCAAACAUUAAAUUCUGUUCCAAGGUAAUGAAAAUGUGGUUAUAUAAACUUCAAUUAAAUAGAGAAUAAUGAAACAAGUUCAGAAAGAGACAGAGAAUAAAAGAUAAAAUCAAUGAUAAUGCUUUGAAAUGGCGACAGAAAUUGAUUAUUGUGUUAAGACACCAUACCAGAAACAUAUAUUAUUUGCAUGCAAAAUAUGUCAUGGGAAAAUCAUUAAGAAUAAAACUUAGCUUCACUGAUACAAUAAAAUGCUAUAUAAGAAGAUAUGCAUUACUCAAAAAUCUUACAAAGGGAGAAAAAGAAAUAUACACGGAAACAUGAUCUCAGAAGAAAAUGCAUAUCUCAUAAAAGUAAAUUGAAAAACAUAUGAUGGAAAAAGGAUAGCCAAAAUACAAUCGAAAAACAUAUAGG